AGUGAACGCUGGCGGUAGGCCUAACACAUGCAAGUCGAACGGCAGCACAGUAGGAGCUUGCUCUUACGGGUGGCGAGUGGCGGACGGGUGAGGAAUACAUCGGAAUCUACUUUUUCGUGGGGGAUAACGUAGGGAAACUUACGCUAGUACCGCAUACGACCUACGGGUGAAAGCAGGGGAUCUUCGGACCUUGCGCGAUUGAAUGAGCCGAUGUCGGAUUAGCUAGUUGGCGGGGUAAAGGCCCACCAAGGCGACGAUCCGUAGCUGGUCUGAGAGGAUGAUCAGCCACACUGGAACUGAGACACGGUCCAGACUCCUACGGGAGGCAGCAGUGGGGAAUAUUGGACAAUGGGCGCAAGCCUGAUCCAGCCAUACCGCGUGGGUGAAGAAGGCCUUCGGGUUGUAAAGCCCUUUUGUUGGGAAAGAAAAGCAGCAGGUUAAUACCCCGCUGUUCUGACGGUACCCAAAGAAUAAGCACCGGCUAACUUCGUG
This 492-nucleotide ribosomal RNA is filed under the name uncultured bacterium. RNAcentral describes it as "partial 16S ribosomal RNA". It matches the Rfam family "Bacterial small subunit ribosomal RNA", at positions 29 to 507 of the family's 1533-position model. The record is from RNAcentral.